GGCUUAGAAGCAGCCAUCAUUUAAAGAAAGCGUAAUAGCUCACUGGUCGAGUCGGCCUGCGCGGAAGAUGUAACGGGGCUAAACCAUGCACCGAAGCUGCGGCAGCGACGCUGAUGCGUUGUUGGGUAGGGGAGCGUUCUGUAAGCCUGCGAAGGUGUGCUGUGAGGCAUGCUGGAGGUAUCAGAAGUGCGAAUGCUGACAUAAGUAACGAUAAAGCGGGUGAAAAGCCCGCUCGCCGGAAGACCAAGGGUUCCUGUCCAACGUUAAUCGGGGCAGGGUGAGUCGACCCCUAAGGCGAGGCCGAAAGGCGUAGUCGAUGGGAAACAGGUUAAUAUUCCUGUACUUGGUGUUACUGCGAAGGGGGGACGGAGAAGGCUAUGUUGGCCGGGCGACGGUUGUCCCGGUUUAAGCGUGUAGGCUGGUUUUCCAGGCAAAUCCGGAAAAUCAAGGCUGAGGCGUGAUGACGAGGCACUACGGUGCUGAAGCAACAAAUGCCCUGCUUCCAGGAAAAGCCUCUAAGCAUCAGGUAACAUCAAAUCGUACCCCAAACCGACACAGGUGGUCAGGUAGAGAAUACCAAGGCGCUUGAGAGAACUCGGGUGAAGGAACUAGGCAAAAUGGUGCCGUAACUUCGGGAGAAGGCACGCUGAUAUGUAGGUGAAGCGACUUGCUCGUGGAGCUGAAAUCAGUCGAAGAUACCAGCUGGCUGCAACUGUUUAUUAAAAACACAGCACUGUGCAAACACGAAAGUGGACGUAUACGGUGUGACGCCUGCCCGGUGCCGGAAGGUUAAUUGAUGGGGUCAGCGCAAGCGAAGCUCUUGAUCGAAGCCCCGGUAAACGGCGGCCGUAACUAUAACGGUCCUAAGGUAGCGAAAUUCCUUGUCGGGUAAGUUCCGACCUGCACGAAUGGCGUAAUGAUGGCCAGGCUGUCUCCACCCGAGACUCAGUGAAAUUGAACUCGCUGUGAAGAUGCAGUGUACCCGCGGCAAGACGGAAAGACCCCGUGAACCUUUACUAUAGCUUGACACUGAACAUUGAGCCUUGAUGUGUAGGAUAGGUGGGAGGCUUUGAAGUGUGGACGCCAGUCUGCAUGGAGCCGACCUUGAAAUACCACCCUUUAAUGUUUGAUGUUCUAACGUUGACCCGUGAUCCGGGUUGCGGACAGUGUCUGGUGGGUAGUUUGACUGGGGCGGUCUCCUCCUAAAGAGUAACGGAGGAGCACGAAGGUUGGCUAAUCCUGGUCGGACAUCAGGAGGUUAGUGCAAUGGCAUAAGCCAGCUUGACUGCGAGCGUGACGGCGCGAGCAGGUGCGAAAGCAGGUCAUAGUGAUCCGGUGGUUCUGAAUGGAAGGGCCAUCGCUCAACGGAUAAAAGGUACUCCGGGGAUAACAGGCUGAUACCGCCCAAGAGUUCAUAUCGACGGCGGUGUUUGGCACCUCGAUGUCGGCUCAUCACAUCCUGGGGCUGAAGUAGGUCCCAAGGGUAUGGCUGUUCGCCAUUUAAAGUGGUACGCGAGCUGGGUUUAGAACGUCGUGAGACAGUUCGGUCCCUAUCUGCCGUGGGCGCUGGAGAACUGAGGGGGGCUGCUCCUAGUACGAGAGGACCGGAGUGGACGCAUCACUGGUGUUCGGGUUGUCAUGCCAAUGGCACUGCCCGGUAGCUAAAUGCGGAAGAGAUAAGUGCUGAAAGCAUCUAAGCACGAAACUUGCCCCGAGAUGAGUUCUCCCUGACUCCUUGAGAGUCCUGAAGGAACGUUGAAGACGACGACGUUGAUAGGCCGGGUGUGUAAGCGCAGCGAUGCGUUGAGCUAACCGGUACUAAUGAACCGUGAGG
RNAcentral lists this ribosomal RNA (1834 nucleotides) under Escherichia coli. Its description in RNAcentral is "partial 23S ribosomal RNA". It matches the Rfam family "Bacterial large subunit ribosomal RNA", at positions 1103 to 2915 of the family's 2925-position model. Lineage: Bacteria; Pseudomonadati; Pseudomonadota; Gammaproteobacteria; Enterobacterales; Enterobacteriaceae. The record is from RNAcentral.